RNAcentral lists this ribosomal RNA (119 nucleotides) under Pteropus alecto (black flying fox). Lineage: Eukaryota; Metazoa; Chordata; Mammalia; Chiroptera; Pteropodidae. The record is from RNAcentral.
GUCUAUAACCAUGCUACCCUGAACAAGCCCAAUCCCAUCUGAUCUUGGAAGCUAAGCAUGGUUGGGCCUGGUUAGUAUUUGGAUGGGAGACCACCUAGGAAGACCAGGUGCUAUAGGCG